RNAcentral lists this transfer RNA (65 nucleotides) under Lissodema cursor. RNAcentral's name for it is "tRNA-Phe". Lineage: Eukaryota; Metazoa; Arthropoda; Insecta; Coleoptera; Salpingidae. The record is from RNAcentral.
AUUUAAAUAGCUUAAUAAAAGUAUAAUAUUGAAGAUAUUAAGAUAAUAAAAUUUAUUUUUAAAUA